Molecule: transfer RNA, 77 nt
Filed under: Mycetocola sp. CAN_C7
Lineage: Bacteria; Bacillati; Actinomycetota; Actinomycetes; Micrococcales; Microbacteriaceae
Description: tRNA-Leu
Rfam family: tRNA (bases 11-77)
About the family: Transfer RNA (tRNA) molecules are approximately 80 nucleotides in length.
Source: RNAcentral
GAGGCGGUGCGCGGCGGAAAAGCUGGGGAUACGGACUCAUAAUCCGUCGGUCACGGGUUCAAGUCCCGUCCGCCCUA